Hippocampus zosterae (dwarf seahorse) is the source of this 1374-nucleotide long non-coding RNA. RefSeq lists it as uncharacterized. The transcript is spliced from 2 exons. The record is from RefSeq and is a predicted model, not a curated record. NCBI's taxonomy places the organism in Eukaryota, Metazoa, Chordata, Actinopteri, Syngnathiformes, Syngnathidae.
AAGCUGCCAACACGAAACAGCAGCAUACCUGUUAUCAAAAGGCCAAUGAUGUAGAUGUCUUCCACAUUCCUCCACGGACAGUACUGUCAGGCACACCAGUCUCCACUUUCUCCAUGGAUCCAGGGCGUAUCCGGCAGCAAGUGUCCCCGGAGGGCAAGCAGGCUCCCCACUGCCCGCUCUUUCCGUCGAAAAAAUGUUGUCGAUUACAUCGAGAGACCAGCCAACUAAUUCAAUAGUUAGUUCUUCGGAUGAAAACAUGGUAGGAGGCUAGGGAAAAAGAGUUGGACAAAGACAGCACAAAAGACUAAGUGGCGAGCACGAAAAAAAAAAAUUUGGGAGGGCAGGGGAGCUGUGCAAAAAGUGUCCGCCUUCGUCGAGAGCCAAGCAGAAAAGUAUAUUAAAAGAAGAUUAACUGUGAUCAAUGAAAUUUUCACAUCUCGACUGAGCAGGAUUCAUCAGGCUGAUUGUAUUUUAUGUACCUUCUUACUGAGAUGCUGAGAUUUCUUUUCCUUCAGUGCAUUGAAAAGUUUUUUUGACCUUUUUGGUUGUUGUAAUAAAUUAGAAAAUCUAUCAUUGUUAUCAGUGUUAUAAUACUUUUGAAUUCUUUAUUACAGUUAGUUUUUUAUUUGCAACGUUUGAAUGUAGUUUGUUCUCAUUAGUUCUCAUAGAGGUUUGGUCAUUUGAAUUCAUUCUUGUCUUUUUUGUUUUGUUUCUUCUCUUUGCUUCAAAAUCUUGGAUCAGCUGAGUCUUCUUCAAAUCCCUCCCUCAACAUCGGUGAGAUUCGUGAUUGGUUUCCCAGCAGUGAGAUAUAAAACCAGGAGCCCUAAAACAGAAGUUUUUCCUGUAUUUCAAUGUUUACCUUCAUUAGAACCCACCACCAGAGACCAACCAGCCAAACCCCAGCGAGCGUGAGGGAGCCGACAAACCCACUUGCCACUUUAGAAACACCCAGCAGCAAGCCCACUGUACACGUCACAAACUAGCAUACAACCGGCUAGCAACGAGACCCGACAAAAUGCCACCCAAACAGAAGCAAGACACAAAGCAGGAUGAGGACUUCCUGACCCUCACUCAAGUAAACGAAUUACUGCAGCAACAAAAAAAAGCUUUUUACAGCGCUCUUGUAACAACAACAGGAAAAUUUCAAAGGAUUUGUCAAGAUGAUACUAGACUCAACAAACUCACGACUUGACACCUUUACCAGGGAAGUCCAAGAAAUAAAAACCAGCAUCAACUUUACCCAAAAAGAGGUAGACGACAUAAAAAAAAAUCUAAUCUGUCAAACUGGCCAUUCCAAAGACAUGCAAACAGAAUUCUACAAAAUAUGUGACGGCAUGCUAGUAUUUACAGACAAGAUGGACUACUUGGAAGGAC